GACUCUUAGCGGUGGAUCACUCAGCUCGUGCGUCGAUGAAGAACGCAGCUAGCUGCGAGAAUUUAUGUGAAUUGCAGGACACAUUGAUCAUCGACACUUCGGAACGCACUUGCGGCCCGGGUUCCUCCCGGGGGCUACGCCUGUCUGAGCGUCG
This 154-nucleotide ribosomal RNA is filed under the name Erinaceus europaeus (western European hedgehog). Its description in RNAcentral is "5.8S ribosomal RNA (ENSEEUG00000017594.1)". It matches the Rfam family "5.8S ribosomal RNA". Rfam says of the family: 5.8S ribosomal RNA (5.8S rRNA) is a component of the large subunit of the eukaryotic ribosome. It is transcribed by RNA polymerase I as part of the 45S precursor that also contains 18S and 28S rRNA. Lineage: Eukaryota; Metazoa; Chordata; Mammalia; Eulipotyphla; Erinaceidae. The record is from RNAcentral.